Molecule: small nucleolar RNA, 265 nt
Organism: Otolemur garnettii (small-eared galago)
Lineage: Eukaryota; Metazoa; Chordata; Mammalia; Primates; Galagidae
Source: Ensembl
UGAUAGUGCUAGGAUUAUAGGUGUGAGCUACUGUGCCUGGCCUGACAGACUUUCAAUUCAGUCCAAAAAACCUUCUCCUCCAUUAGGCUCCAGGAGUGCUGUGGUGGGCGGAAGGGCAGCUGACACUCCGGAUGUCCUCGUUCUGUGUUCCUUGGUGAGCCCAGAGAGAACAUGGUGGUAGGUAUCCAACAGUUCAGUCACAAAGGGAUCUGGUGGUGGGAAUGCAGGUAUCUGUGGCUGUGAUCUGACAUUUUCAACUGAGACA